GUUCCCUCUAGUGGUUGCCAGGUCACACUGAGAAUGUGGGCUGGUAUUUUUUUUCAGGGUUGCGACAGAACUGAAGAAUGGGGAUGGGUCUGGGAUAAUUUUAAAUGCCACAAAGUUCCCUGUUUUUACCAAGAUGCAGCUGCUUUUCUUGAAUAAGUAUUCCUCAGGUUGCUACAAGCCUUUGAUUAACUUCCAGGGUUUUAAAAAAGUUGGGUCUGACCAUUUUUUGUGCUUUUUUUCUUUACUUUUAGAAAGGAGUGAAUGUUCAUAGGUCCUUACUCUGAGAUUUUUGUGUAUGCUAUGAAAAUCAACUUUUAAUCAAUAUAAAUGCUCAAACUAUCAUAACCCUCCAAAUUACUAUUCCAGUGCUCAUGUUUCUUAUAUCAUCUGCAAAGUUUUCCUGAAAGGCUUUGUCUCUUCCUUCGUGUCAAGGCAGAAAGCAAGUCAAGACCUAAAGGUCAUCCGAACAGUUGUGGUAAUCCUACUGUGAUGCUGUGAAAACAGGAAGUGAGGUUUAUUUAGCAUGCGUGGUUCCCAGGGUUGCUCACAGAUUAUAUGAAGAAUAUGGGACUUAGAAUUUUGUUAGGAAGACUAAUGCCAAUGUCAUUGGUAAAUCCUUUUAUAAACUCCUUUUUUUUUUUAGAAUUUAUUGAAAGCAAGAACAGUAUUUGCCUAUCCCCAGUACUUCUCCAACUUUCUAAAAUCUUUCAAAGGUUGUCUACUAUGGUUCCAAAACUAUGAGUACAGUUUGCUCUUGAGGAUGAACUAAGUCCACAUCGGGGGUCUAGAACAUUUCAGUUGAGUCGAUGUCCUUUUAUUCUUUACCUCUUUGGGAGUUUUGGUCGCCUCUUAACUCCAACAUUGAAGCAUUUCAAUCUUGGGCUUCAUUCAUUUUGUAGAAAAGAGAAACCCAGGUGGGGUGGGGUGUGCUUGUAAUAUCAGUAGGCUGAAGCAGGAAGAUCACAAGUUUGAGGCCAGCCUCAGCAUCUUAGUCCAUGCUUCAAAAUAAAUAAAUAAACAAACAAACAGAUAAAUAAAUAAAUAGACUGGGGACAUAGCUUAGUGGUAGAGUGCUUGCCUAGUAUGUGUGAUGACCUGAAUUUGAUCCCCAGUACUGAAGUGGGGGGGGGGAGAGAGAGAGAAAGAAAAAGAAAGAGAAGGAGGAGGUGGAGGAGGAG
Molecule: long non-coding RNA, 1178 nt
Filed under: Marmota monax (woodchuck)
Lineage: Eukaryota; Metazoa; Chordata; Mammalia; Rodentia; Sciuridae
Source: RNAcentral